This 9869-nucleotide long non-coding RNA is filed under the name Daucus carota (carrot). Its description in RNAcentral is "long non-coding RNA (DCAR_LNC006042)". Lineage: Eukaryota; Viridiplantae; Streptophyta; Magnoliopsida; Apiales; Apiaceae. The record is from RNAcentral.
GGCCAUUUUGCAAGAUAUUGCAUGUCAUAGUAUCUGGUAUUGAAACAAAAGGUUUUAAUAGAUAAUAGAUUUCUAAAGUUUAACUUAUUUUACACAUUUAUAUUUUCCAUUCGGACAGCUACCUUGCGGCAGCAAGAAAAUUACCCUAAAGGAGCAUAUUAUGGUCAUGAGAUGGACAGCAGUAAUCAAUGCAUUGAGUAAUGAGAUGAUCAGCUGAACAUCUGACCUAGUGACUAAGAAGACUACACAUAACUCAGGCAGUUACAGUACAAGUGUACAACUCUUGAAAAGUCUGAUAGUCUAAUUCAUAUAUGACAGCAAGCGUGAACCACGCAAGAAAUGAAUUUGUAAGAAUUUGGACAUCAUCAAGCACACCGGUAACUCAGUAAGAUACUGGAGAUCUGGACAAAUCGGAGAAUUGAUUUCUGAUUAUAAUUGUAACUGAUUAUUUUUUCACCGAGAAAAAUAAAAAAAAAAUACUAUGAGAUUUCAAUAGAAAAUGAGAGAGUUGAGUAAAUUAUAGUUGCAUUUGCUCAAGGGUUUUUUUACUGUGGUAACAUAAGAUAAGAGCUGCAAUUUUAUUUUUAUUAAAGACCUGGGAUGAUGUUGUCGAGUAUUUUGAGAGUAUCGUUCGCAGGGAAGGACUGAUAUCAACACUAAUCUCAAGUCUUUUAUCUCUUGUAAUUCAGAAGUGUGUAGAAGAAUUUGGUGGGUUUUAUCUAUCAACUAGUUGAAAAGCUCUACACAACUCUUUCAGGUGUUCACCUGAAAGUGCUAGACAGGGGUCUUGGGAUCUGCUACUGCCAAUUGGCAAGGGAUUAAAAACCUACACAGUCAGUAUCACUUGAUCCAGGUUGUUCGUUGUCAGAAUCUAACAGUAGUAACGAGAGGUUAUAGUAAAGAAGAGUAUAAUACGGAACUAUCUCCUUUGUGGAGGAAAGAAACAGACUAGUAGACAACCUUCUGAAAAUUCAAAUAUCACUAAGAGACUCUCGAUUUAGAGUCAUGCGUGAAAAGUGAAGGAGGAAUGAUAUAAACAUAUACUACAUUACUUUCAUUUUUGUGCAGUUUUGACUUUGAAUAUCCGUCCAGGCAUCUUAAAAUGAGAAAGAGACUAUUAUACUGCAACUUUAGCAAAGUCGCACUAAUUGGUUUUUGAUAAGACUGGCUACAUCAGGAGAAUGUUGGCAAAUGAAAAAAACUAUGUACCUUAGCAAUCUCUCCCUUUCCAAACCAAACCAAACAAUUAACCCAGUAUAUCCCGCUUAGAGCAGGGUCUGGUGAGGGUAAAAUGUACGCAGACCAUGCCCCUACUCAUUUAGAGUAAGGAGGCUGUUUCCGUGAGACCCCCGACUUAGUGCAAAACAAAGUUUUGUGUGAAAUAUAAGUAAAUUGGACCUUGGCCCAUGAUUUCUAACACAUGGGACUCACCUCUAUCGGCAAUGCAUCUGUCCAUGAAUGAUCUGAGCCGUUGCACCUGAGCCUUGUCCUAAAAGCAUAACCUGAGCCUUUAACGCAACGAUUCUGGGCAUAUUGUGGUUUGAGCAAGUCCAGUAAGUGGCUGAUGCAUCUGCUGAGAAGUGACGAGAACGCAUCUGAUCUACAUGUACACCUGCUUCACUGUACUUAAUUGUAUAUAAAAACUACAAACAAGUGUGUUGUGGGUAACAGCAACUGGCGAGCAAUACAAACUGUAAUCAUAGUAUGUUGCGAGAUAUAACUACACUAAAUACAAACAAAGAGGAAUUGCCCAAACUUAAAACAGUGGCAUUUGACAUAAUACUAAUACAGCUAGUCACCAAUACAUACCAAUAUGAUUUAACUCCAAAUUUGUGGAAGAACCUUUAAAAAUAUUUUGCACCUUAACAAACUCUCUCCUUGCUACACUUGGGGCAAGAACUUCCUAUGCAAGAACUGGGUCCUGUUUUUCUGAUCUGAGUAGGUCCAUUGGCAUGUAGGUGGUAGAGGUAUCUGCCGAUAUACUACUUCAACUCUGUCGCAGCUGUUUGAAUAGAAAAGACAGCAAGUCCAGAAUUCUUCAUCCUGAAUAUACUUGCAUCAAAACUACCUCUUUUAAAUGAGCGCUCCGUUCUGAUCCAGUCCAAUCAUAAAAGCAAAUUAUAUACAGAGGAAAUAUUCAAAAAGGCACUUAAAUAUAUUUGUAAACACCAGCACACCACAUUUGCACUCAUUAAGAAAAUACUCUUUGAUUUUCUCGAUUAAUCACCAGAGCAACAUGAAGAGGAACAGAAGAACUCUCUGAAAUAAAAUUUGAACAAUAUUUCAUAGGACAAGUUUCAUCCAAGAGUAGUUGUUAAAUACUAAAUUUAGUAGCACAUGAGAUUCAUGUACAUGUUAUCUCAUACUAAUCAACAAUUACAACACAUACGUUAAGUAAUCUAAAAUAACUAUGGCAAGAACCUCUUACACAAAGCAAGCAAAUUUUGAUCCUGUACCCACCAUUCAAGCAAGUGCAGUAACAUGGAGGGCUUAGAAGCAUAUAUUCUGAGAAGCCGCGAGCACAAAUCUCUUCUUUAAGUACAAUUGCCCCGUUGUGCAAAAACCACAGAUAAGGGUGAUGGAGGUAGCAUCAUUUGGCAAGCAAUCAUUGCUUCCAUUUCCACAUAUGGUUCAUUUGCUUUAUUGAGUAAGCCUUCUUGACAAAAUCCCUGUAUCAUCAUUGUGUAUGUCUUCACAGUAGGUCACAAAAAUAUUUUCAAGGAAGGCUGUCAUAUAUACUUUUUGCCUUUUCAAAAUUUCACAUCUAUUAGACAUUGGGCCAUUAACAAAGAAACCAAAGAAAAUUUUUGAACUUAACUGAGUUGAGGGACUCCUAAGAGUAGCUUAACAUAUUGUUGUAUUUCCUCGGAGUGAUGAUUAGUGAUUACAGACAAUAAAAAAAAUCGAAAAAACUGGAUGCGUAAACAACAAAGGACCAGUAGGAGAACUGCAAACUUUACAACACUUGUAUCGAACUAAUCCUGGCAAAAUCGAAAAGAUUAUGUCCCUGGGCACUCUCUUCCUUUUAAACACUUAUGGAUCGGAGAGUACUUAUCACGCAAGGCAAGGAGAGGAGGAUCCGGUUCUUGCACUUCAAGUAAGUCCACUAAUGCAGAUGCUGUAGAUGCAUCUGCUGCAAAGCUGUGACCAAGCAUUUCAUCUAGGAAUACACCUGCUUCAUAGUACUUCUUAUUAUGUAAACAACCACGGAUAAGCAUGUUGUAUGUGACAUCAGUAGGCAAGCAAUCAUUAGCUUCCAUUUCCCUGAAUAGUUCAGUCGCUUCAUUCAAUAACCCUCCAUGAAAAUAUGCUUGGAUCAUCAUUGUGUAUGUCUUGACAUUAGGUCGCAGACCUUUCGCAGGAAGGUUGCUAAAAAGAGUUCUUGCUGCUUCAAGUUGUCCGUUUUUGCUUAAUCCAUCAAUCAGAAUGGUGUAAAUAUAUAUAUCAGGAACUAGCCCACUGCAUUCCAUCAUUUGGAAAAAGGACAGUGCUUCACGAACACAACCGUUCUUGCAAAGACCAUCCAAUAAAAUAGCGCAAGUCACUUUAUCCAACUGAAGACCUUUGUUCAGCAUCAUCUUUUCCUUAAAAAAUUUACGUGCUUCAACAUGUCUACCCGCACGAAAAAAACCUUGCAGUAUAGUAUUGUAAGUCUCAGUAUUUGGGGUUAAACCUUCAGAGGGCAUUUGUUGAAAAAGAUCUAUUGCUAUGUCCACUUUCAACUUUUUACAAUAACCAUUGAUGAGGAUAUUAUAGCUAAGUGUAUCAGGCAAUAUUGCCUUUCUCUUCAUGCUUUCAAACACUGCUAAUGUUUUAUCAACCUCUCCCCUCAAGCAGUAUCCAUCCAUUAGUGCAUUAUAUGUUACUACAUCAGGACAAUGGCCCCUUUGAGUCAUCAACUCUAUCACAUCCUCCGCAUCUUCAAUCAUUCCUUCUUUGCAAUACGCAUCAACCAAUAUGUUGUAAGUAAAAACAUCUCGAGAAAUGUUCCUAACAUUCAUCUCCUUGAGCAAUAGUUUGACAUCAUGCCAUCGAUUUAUGUCACACAGACCUAGAAUUAAUGAGUUGUAGGUUAUAACAUUUGGGGAUAUGCCUUUCCUUGUCAUUUGGUGGAGAAGACCCAAUGCUUGAUCAACCAAUCUAUGCUUACACAAACAGUCAAUAAGUGUGUUGUAAGUUACGGCAUCAGGCUUGCAACCUUUCUUGACCAUAUAUUUGAACAACUUAACAGCCACAGAAGGAUUCCCUCUCUUGCAGAUGCCGUCAAUGAUUGUGUUAUAGGUUACAACAUCGGGUUGAAUAAGUUUAAAUGUGAUGAGGUUCUGGAACAAAAGCUGAGCCUCAUGAGGCAUAUCUUGGGAAAUAAGGCCCCUGAUGAGAGUGUUAUAGGUAAACACAUCAGGAACAAAACCGUACUUAAUAAUUCCAGCCAGUAAUGAAAAGGCAAAUUCGACAUGAUUCAAGUGACAAAAGCAGUUAAUGAGAGUAUUAAAGGUAAUUACAUUAACAGGGAUGCUUUCUACACGCAUCUUUCUAAAAACAGAGACAGCUACUGAGUAGUGUUUCAUUUUAACAAGGGCGGCUAACAGUUGAUUGAAGUCGAUAACAUUAGGCAGAGGUUUCAUACUGAGCAUUUUAUCAAACACUUGGAGAGCAUCAUCGAGUUUAUCGAAACCAACCUUGGAUUUCUCAAGGAGUAGAUGUUGAAGUCGAGCAUGAGUUGGAUGAGAUGAAUAAGGGAAAUUAUUAGGGUUUGGUUUAGUGGAGAAGCGAGAAAGCGAAUACAAAUCAAAGCAACAAGUGAAAUUACCAGAAGAAUGUGCAAGUAGUAACUGAGAUUUCAAUGGACAGAAGGUCCUCAUCAGUCUCUUCAUCAUCAUCUUUGAAUUUCUCUCUUUCACUGUCUGCUCUUUAUCUACAAACUCUGCUCUUCUUGUAAAUUGUAAUGUUGUGUAUUUUCUGUUUCACUGCGAUUGUGUGCUUCAAUGUUAAAAUUCUCUGUAAUUUUGUAUCACCAUCCGAAUCUGAAACCGGAGAAUAAUAUAAUUAUAUAUAUAUAUAAUUUUAUAUAUUACAUGUCGUAUUAAAUUAUAUAACACAAUUAUAUAUUAUUUUAUAUACUGGAGAUUAUACAAUAUACAUAUUAUUGUAUAAUUAGAAUAUGUAUUUUUCUUAAAGUUAAAAAUUGGCUAAUAAUAAACUUUAACAAAAUUAAAUUAUUGUAUAAUUCAAAUGGUUGAUACAGUGAACUAAAAUUUUCUAGAAACAAAUAUUGUUAAUUGAUUUGAUUAAUAAAAUUUUAGUUAUUCAUUUAUAAACCAAACUGAUAUUGAUUUCGAGUGCUUGUAAUUUUUAUAAUCAUAAAUAAUCAGUAAUUAAAAAUAUUUUCCGAUUUCAGGUUCAGGUUUUAGGUUUUAGAUAUUCAAUAUAAAAAAAAAAUCAAGUUUCGUGUAUACCCGAAAUCCAAUCCGAAAUUCAUAGGAUUAGGUUCAACUAUUCAUUUUAGAUAUUUUUCGAGUUCAGAUUGAAUCUGGGAUGGAUAAAAAAUUCGGAGUUUGAAUAUGUAUUUUGUCAUACCAUUCCUCAUACUUGAUCCAAUUCAAUAGUCAUCCCUAGUCCAAACAGGUCCAAAACGAUUAUAUUUUAACCGAUUCAAAUAAAAAAUUUCAAUCCUACAUAUACCCGGAUUAAAAGUACACCUAUAAAUUUUGAUUUUCUCAAACUGACCCAAUCUAAAAUGUCCGAUUAAAAUUGGAAUAGUUAAAAAUCAAUACUAUAACUAAAAAAAACACCAAAUGAUAUACAUAUGUCAGCUUCUCCUUCAAUUGCUAACAUCAUCUUUCACUUAUUAUUUGAUUAAUUAAUUAAUUAAUUAAUUAAUUUGUUUUCUCUUUCUCAUUAAUUACAAUCUCCACUUAUUCCCUCUCAUACUCAUUUCUCACCUACUUCAUCAUUUUUCUUUAACUAAAAGUUAAAAUAAUUUUUCUUCCAUUCUCAUUUCUCAACUAUUUUUAGAUCUUAAUUUAAUUUUUUUUUAAAAUGCUUAUCGAUUAUUUUAUAUUUUUAAUUCAAAAAAAAUCAUAAUCACGAAUAUUCAAAUAUUUUAGUUAUCACUUUAAUUUUUUGUUUAAAAUUAUUUAAUUUGAAAUAUACUCCAUCCACUCUAUUAAAACUUACAUAACUUAUAAUAUAUAAAUAUAAUCAGGUUAUAUAAAGUAUGAGAAAAACAUUAUUAAAAAUUAUAUUUAAUUUAACUCUCAUAUUUAAUUUUAACACUUUUAAAAUUAUACAUAAAUAUUAACUUGUAGUCAAACUUGAAUUUAAACAUCGCAUAGGUUAUGAAUCAGACAGGAAACUCAUUCCAUAACCUUAGUUUCAGCUUGUGUUUUUACUUUUCAGUUUCGGACUUUCUUUUUUCAUUUUGUAAUAUGAAGAAAAUAAUAAUAACAUGACAGCAAUCCAAUCCAACCCACAGGUUCAUUUGCCUCCCUUUCCAGUAAUCCACAUUCUGAUACUAUUCCAGAGCAUCCAUCUUUCCGGAUUAAUAAAUACUAUAAAAGAUGGAAUAAAGUUUUUCUCAAAAGUAGGGACAAUUUGGAGAGAGAAUGUCAAUAGUACGAUUUUCCACGUGACACGAAAAUUAAACGAAAAUUUAGUGUUUGUGUUUUCAUUUUGAGUACACGGCACAAAAAAUACUAGAACACUAAGUACACGACUGACGUGUAAUGUCGGUUUUGUGUUUGCCCUUUGAGUACACGACACGAGUUACACGAAAUAAAUAUAAUUUAUAAUUAAAUAUUAAUAUUUAAUUAUAAAUAUGUAUAAUUAUAAUAAAUAAUUAAAUAUAUGUUAUUUUCUUUUAAAAUAAUGGAUAGUUUAUAAUAUUGUAAGUAUAAGUGACUCAAAUGUAUAUAUUUCAUAUAAUUUUGUAAAAUUUUUACCUAGAAAUCUAAUACUUACAUUAUUUUAUAUAUUUAUUUAUAUUUAUUAAAUAUUUCAGUUCAACUUUACACGAAACACGAUGAGAACGACCCGGAAACGGAGUUACACAACACGAAAAUACAUGAACACUGAAUGGUCGGUGGUCGGUUUUGUGUUUGGUUUCUAAGUACACGACACCGAAGUAUACUAUACGAACGGAUCGUCGGGUCUAGAAAAGAGUGCUUCGCUUUUUGACCUAUAAAUUCAGGCUCGCUUAAAAAAACUAAUACAAUGGUUAACAUGAUGCAUGGGACACCAAAAUAAGACACUCAACUUGACGUUUAUGAUAUGUUAAUGUACUGUAGUUUGGCUAUACACCUCUGUACCCAUUGCACACCUUGCUGCGUACACAGAAUAUCAAGUCUUCCAUUUGAAUUUCGGAAAGAAAAAUGUUUCAUCAGUACCAAGCACACAUCUGAAGACUUUUGAAACAGAAUAUUGCUAUAUAUACAGAAACAUUCUAAACAAUAGAAAAUCUACUAACCUGCCUCUGUCAUUGUGUCGCUCAUUGAGACAAGAUGACUAUUGGUUUCCAGUUGGUCAUGGUAUUACCAAUAUUCAUGGCUUUGUCAUUCUUUGGCAUGUAUGAGGCCAGGGCUGGCCGGCUUCUUAUGAAUGCACCGUUCCAGCUUCCCGCCAUCCCCAACUUCCCGUUCCCUCCUUCCCUGGGAUCCCAGGUAAACUUUUUCUUCAUUAUAUGUUUAAUUGGUUCCGGAGAUGAGCUUCAUAUUUACCUAUACGGUUAAUGGUGCUCUCUCGUCCUCAAACUUAUUAUUGUCAUGCACUGUAACCCUGGAAGUUAUGAUCACGGCAUUUUCUUUGGUUACUUUGUCAAUGACCUGUGAAGGGGUUCAUAACCUUAACAUUUCUUCUGAAUGUCAGUGGUACUAAUGCCAUUGCUAGGUGUAAGGUGUUGCCAACUUAGGAGGAUAAAUAUGUUAAUUUUGAACUACAUGGACAAAAUAUUAGCAUGUUAUAGACUCAGAGGACGGGAGGUGUUAUAUAUCUUCUGAUUAUAAAUCUCUGCUUAACAGCAUAAACACGUAUUAUAAUAUAAUAGUAAAGCAAGUUAUUUCAGCUUUUAUUUUACCCUCGAAAAUUAUCCUCUGGACAAUGUAGUUCUAGAUCAUUAUUUUCUAGAUGUAAAAGCUAACAGCACCACUCGCAUAUUGUCCUGCUUUACUGUUCGUGUGUAUGGUAGAACUCUCAAGUUUUGAGGGAUUCACAAAGUAGUGGAGAAUAGCAUGACAACGAGUCAACGACAUAUGUGGGUGAAAAUUCUUUACUAUUGAUAUUCAUAAUCACUAUGGGUUGCAUUCUGUUAUUGAAAGAAAGUUAUCCAGUUAGGCUACGAUGUUAAGGAUGAUUGUGAAGUCAGGGGAACACACAAAUUUACUACUCAAGAAAGUUCGAUUCAAAUUUUUUAUAAUCCACUCUAGAAAUAUUUCAAGGUGUUUUAUGAUGACUUACAAACAAAUGCAGUGGUUUAUUAUGUCGAUUGGGACUUCAACACAAAAGAUUGGCCUUCUGGGAAACCCUUUCACGCAGGUGACAUAAUCGGUAAGCCAGCAAUAAUCUGUUAAAUCAUGGAAUUUAACACCAUUGUUGCAUAUCAACAUAAAAAUCAUCUUCACUUUAACUGAUCAAAUUUUUACAUUUUUUUGAUUGGUUUUCAUUUGCAGUAUUUAACUACAAUAGAAAUCUGCAUAAUGUGGUUACAAUAAAUGAGACCAAAUAUGAAGAUUACCUGAACUGUGUUGUAUCUGACAAGGCAAACAUCCUGAGCACCGGAAAAUGGAAAUGAUGCAAUAACGCUGCAAAAUGGAGUCAACUACUUCAUUUGUGGUACAAUGGGCCACUGUACUGCUGGAAUGCAGAUAGCUAUUGUUACGACCUAAUUAACUUUAAGCUAAUAGCAGAUUAUUGUAAUCCAUGUGAUGCUAAUUGUAAUUAUAAGAACAAUAUGCUUGAUAUAAUAUCUACAUUAAGUUUACUUACUUCAAACUUUGGUCAUUGUCUACGUUAAAAUAUGUUGGUGAUAACGCAAGAAAAUGUGUUCAAUAUUAUACCAUGAGCCAACAAUUUCUUACAUUCUACUUUUUGGCAAUCAUUAUUCUUAUCUGGCAAGAACAACUUAAACAAGGGAAAAAAAACAAAAAUCGAUAAUGUACCUCUAUCGAUUAGGCUUCUUUAAAUGGAAGCCGAGAUGCAUCUUUGAAGAACCGGUAAAAACUAAAAACUUUGGGCUAAAAUGAAUAGAAAUGCUUCACUGUACUUCUUAGUUUGAAUACCUUCACAUUCGAGUAUAAUGUGGGUCAUUAUCUGGCAAGCAAUCAUUUCAGCUUCAACUCCUCCAAACAGGGCAUUAUUUCGUCAAACCUUCUCGACAAAUCCUUACAUCAGCAUUGUGUAUGUCCUGUUUUUGCAGUCGUUGAAAGUAAGUUAACAUAAAGAUAUUUGGCAUUGUAAACCUCUUCGUUUCCUGCACAACUUGUCAAGCAGGAUAUUAGACAUGAAAAUUUCAGGAAUGAAAUCACUGAAUUGCAUCAACUGAAAGGACAGUGUUUCAUUAACAAAUAAGUACUGCAAAGGCCAUUUUGCAAGAUAUUGCAUGUCAUAGUAUCUAGUAUUGAAACAAAAGGUUUUAAUAGAUAAUAGAUUUCUAAAGUUCAACUUAUUUUACACAUUUAUAUUUUCCAUUCGGACAGCUACCUUGCACCAGCAAGAAAAUUACCCUAAAGGAGCAUAUUAUGGUCAUGAGAUGGACAGCAGUAAUCAAUGCAUUGAGUAAUGAGAUGAUCAGCUGAAAAUCUGACCAAGUGACUAAGAAGACUACACAUAACUCAGGCAGUUACAGUACAACUCUUGAAAAGUCUGAUAGUCUAAUU